This 452-nucleotide ribosomal RNA is filed under the name uncultured bacterium. RNAcentral describes it as "bacterial SSU rRNA". It matches the Rfam family "Bacterial small subunit ribosomal RNA", at positions 1 to 507 of the family's 1533-position model. The record is from RNAcentral.
AAGAGUUUGAUCCUGGCUCAGAACGAACGCUGGCGGCAGGCUUAACACAUGCAAGUCGAGCGCCCCGCAAGGGGAGCGGCAGACGGGUGAGUAACGCGUGGGAAUCUACCUAUCACUACGGAACAACUCCGGGAAACUGGAGCUAAUACCGUAUACGUCCGAGAGGAGAAAGAUUUAUCGGUGAUAGAUGAGCCCGCGUUGGAUUAGCUAGUUGGUGGGGUAAUGGCCUACCAAGGCGACGAUCCAUAGCUGGUCUGAGAGGAUGAUCAGCCACACUGGGACUGAGACACGGCCCAGACUCCUACGGGAGGCAGCAGUGGGGAAUAUUGGACAAUGGGCGAAAGCCUGAUCCAGCCAUGCCGCGUGAGUGAUGAAGGCCUUAGGGUUGUAAAGCUCUUUCACCGGUGAAGAUAAUGACGGUAACCGGAGAAGAAGCCCCGGCUAACUUCGUG